Long non-coding RNA from Passer domesticus (house sparrow), 5623 nucleotides. RefSeq lists it as uncharacterized. Lineage: Eukaryota; Metazoa; Chordata; Aves; Passeriformes; Passeridae. The transcript has 2 exons. The record is from RefSeq and is a predicted model, not a curated record.
GGAUUUUUUGGGAGUUUUUUUUGGUUUUGGGGGGGUUUUUUUGGGGUUUUUUUUGUGUUUUUGUUUUUUUGUGGGUUUUUUUGUUUUUUGUUGUUGUUGUUGGAGGUUUUUUUGUGGUUUUUUUUUUUAAUUAUUUUCCUGUGGCUUUUCAAAGUUCCUUCCCUGGAAGCAGCUCGGGGAGGCCGCUGCGGUGCCGGGGCGGCCGCAGGUGCGGGAGCAGCUCUCGCUGUCUCUGUUUCCAGAGCCCGUGCUGGACUGCUGCUAACGCGUUGCUGGCUGCUCAUGAAUCCCAGAAACUGCUUUGCAUAACAGUUUUAUUUUCAUGCAGUAAUCUUCCCUGUUAGCUGCGUUUUCAGACUCUUUGGCAAUCAGUUCUUAAUACCUGCGCUGUUUUGCAAACUGGCUUUUUCAAGGCGUUACCGGCUUUGCUGCCGUGGAUGGGUGCCCUGUGCUCUGCAUAGGCUGUUGUGCUUUAGGGCAAAGUGGACAAGAAACUGGGGAAAAGCAGUUUACUCCUGGAUCUUAGGAAAGUUUACCACCAAAACAGGAUUCCAGUGUUUUUAAAAAACUUUUCCUUCCCCUUUAAUUGAAAUAAGAUCCAGAUCACUUUAGUAUUGGAUCUUGCUGUAAAAUCUAUUUACAUUUAUAUUUAAAUUUACGUCUAAUGCCUCGUAACUCUUUGAAGAAUAACCACCAGCCAAGCCUCUGAUGCAGUGCCACUGCAAGAAAAUACUUGUGCCCAAGAAGGUUUUCAAUAUUCAUCAGUAAUGCAUUUAUAAAGAGAGAGCUCCUUGCAACAAUGUAAAUACAGGAGGAAAUAAAUCUAAAUAAAUCCUUUGCAUUUGCCACCCAGUCUACUUUUUAAUUCAGCUUCAUAAUUAGCUGGGAGUGCAGUUGUGCUGUCACAGAGACGAGUGUGGGUGGUCCCAGCCCCAACGCAGGAGAUGCCAUUUCAGGAUAAAACCCUCCUGUGGAACUUGCCACAGGCCAUCUCUGUGCCAGCCUGACACCUUUCCUAGUGCUGUGACUUGUGUUUUCCAUGGCCACUGUGCAAGGAACAGGGAUCAAAGAACAUUAAACUCAUGUUUAGGACCCAACUAACUUUGUGUCAUUCAGUCCAGGUUGCUGAAAUGGAGUAAGUCCUUUUAUUUUGAGGCUGGUUGUCUUUGGUUUCUAGUGAGCUUUAUCUUACUGGCCAUUUUUUUCUGUUAGAAAAUGUAAAGGUUUUCUUCAAAAUAAAUGGCAAUUAGAGCAGUGGAAGAUAGAAUUAUCAAUGUAUGCAUAUUUUUAGAUAUAAACACAUAUCCUUUGAAGUUCAGUUUGGAGAAGACAGAAAUUUAGUUGGGUUUAUUUUUCACAUAAGCUUUUUUUGAGUCCAUUUUUUUCUGGCAGUAUUUUUUUAUAAUGUGGGAAGAAAAAAAAUGUGUAGCAGUGACUGAGUUACUGGAGGAUCUGUUCAGUGACAGACCCCAUUGUUAUCACUCUCUGUCUCUGCUGAUUUCAAGUUCCAGAUUGGGUGUACCAAGAGGCACAGGCUGCUGUGAAAAGGUGGCAACUCUGCCCUGCAGGAACAGCCCAGAAAGGAGCAGGGGAAUCCCAAUGGAUAAAACACAACACGGAGACAUGCCCUUGCACCCACUGCUUUUAAUGAUCUUGGUACUUUAACCCUUUUAGCCUCAACAUGAAGGAGGUUUGAGUCUAUUUUGUGGACUGGUUAAGUGUAUUGCACAAGCCCUCAGUGGAGGUGCCAGAGGCUGCACAGGGAGCCAGCAGCUCUGGGAUGGGGGUGGCUGCCAAGCACAGCCUGCAAGCUUGGAACAGCUCUCCUGUUUCCAUGUGCUGUCCCCUCCAAGCUCUUCCAAGGUCCUUGUUACCAGAUAGAAAGAUGAAGACUUUCAAAAUUUGGUCCAAAACAAAUGCUCCAAGAGCUCAUGAACCUUGGAAAUUCUGCUCAAGGAAAUUCAGAAAAUCAAUUUCCAUUCUAUGCUGAAGUUCACUCCCAUUUCUGGGAACUGGUAUUUCAUGAAUACAGAAAUCUCCAUUUUCAGUCAGCUCCACUCAUGAUGUCUAACCAGAAUGCAGGAAAAGCCAUUACAAUUAACAUGUAAGAGUAAUAAGGACAUAAUAGAAUACAUUCAGCAAGGAAUUGCCUCGCUGACCCUGCAGCCCAACAUCCCAGCAGGCUUCUCAAACAGUUCGUUCACCCCUGAGCAACAAAACAACAGGAGGCCUUUCUCAAUGGAAGUGCCAGACAGAUUGCAGCAACAGGAGCAAUGUUUUUAUUGUCUUAGCACACUGGACCUUUACAAAUUGUUGAACUCCCUCAGAAGCAGCAAUCAUGGGAAAGUAACAGAAGUUAAGUGGUUUAGCCUCUGCCACAAACAAGGCAGUGGUAGACCUGGGAUUAGAUAGCAACAGUAGUUCUUAGUCUGGGUAAACAAUAAAGAAACUCUUUCUAAGCAGCCAUUAAUGUCUGGUUAUUAGGCUGAAGAGUAGCAAGUUUUGAUUUUCCAGCAUGAAAAUUCCCCUGGAAUUCCUCCAGAGUCCUCUAAUGAACAGAUGAUCUCAACUUUAAUCUUACUUCAUAAUUAUCCAUGGGUAACAUUUCAACAUGGACUCCUUAGCACAUGCAAUUUCUAGAGCAAGUAAUAUUCAAACUAAUUCAUUUCUCCUUUGAUGCACAAGAUGAGAGCACUGAGAAGCAACCAGCAACAAGGGGAUGUUGAGGGUACACUGAGGAGACAGAAACUACAAAGGUCAGAGUAAAUGUGAUGGUUUCAUCCCACACUGUCAAGAUCAAAGAUCUUCAGUCUCUGUUCAUUUUUUUAAGAAGCUGGCAUGUCUUUAUGCUGACCUUUGAAUUGCUCAUGAAGGACUUAGAUCUGCCAUAUAUCUGCAUUCUUGAGAUGAACUUGCACCAAAAAUUUAGAGCUUUUUUCCUAGCAACCUGAAUAUGACAACCUUUUUGAGACAGACUUGAGAGACACUUCCGUUUUCACCAAUAGUAGUCUGUAAGAAAAAAAAAAAGAAAAGAAAAAAAAAAAAACACCAAACCCAAACUUCAGGCUUCACAGAUUCUUUUCCACUCACUUGGAGUUGCCCUAUAGCUUAAUAAUUCUAGAGGUUUGUUUCAAAACUUCUAUUUUAACUUUGUGAUGUUUGGAGAGGGAAACCCUGAGGGAUUCUUGCUUCUGGCAACAAGUACUCAGAACACAGCAGAAGUCUCACUCUGAGGACAGAGGGAGUCUGCCCUGGGCACUGUGUUCCAAACCAGGACUAAGGUGUUCCAGCUGCAAACAAAAAUCUCUUUCAGAUCCAAAGGCAGAGAGCUUGAUCAUUGUGGAUCUUUGGCACAAAUACAGACAAUGGAAGUGAACCUUCAUAAUCUUUCUGAACUGACUUUUAAGGAGAUACCUGAGCUGUUGAAAGAUAAGAGUUCUUCCAUGUUCUUUCUAAUGCUGACAGUAAAGGUGGUUGUGAGGGGAGAGAAACCACUUCCCCUCUCCAACAAACUCAUGCUGUAAAUGAGCCAAAGGCAGCAGGGAGGGAUAGAGCCUGGACAGAGAGGGAGGAGAAUCUGCAAGAAAUCCAGAAAGAAGAGCCAGGGAACCACUGAAACAUUCCACUCUAGGAUAAAAAGGGAAAGAGGGCUGGCUGGAAAACGGGUCCAACAUAACUGGUAGAUGCAUCAGAGGCUUAAAUGCUUGGGGUUGAAGAUUCCAGACCAGACUUCAACUGGAAGGAAAAUGUUUAUGAUAAGAACAGGGAGAGGCAAGUUCCCACUUCCCCUGAUGACCCAUUGUUCCCCUCUCUGAUAGCUCUUGCCUCAGUUUCCAGAUGAUAUAUUGUUUUCCAAGCUACUUUGUCCAUUGUUCUGACAGCAGCCAGGUUUUGUUCAUGCUACUGAAACUUCCCAAUGCUCAGAAACAGUCAUGACAAAUUUUAAACAACUUGUACAGCUGGGAUUAUAAUACAAUUUAGGAAGUUAGAUGGUAAACAUUCUGUGCAUUCUGAAUACCUGCUCCUCUUCCUUCCCUUACUGAUAGUUCAGCUGCCUUUUUAUUGUUCAAAUGCAGUGAGCUGGAUUGGUAGAGGCUUUGAAAGUUCUGAGCCUUCCAAAUUACAUUCCCAAACUUCCCAUCAGCUAUGUCCAAAGUCAGCAUUUCAAAUGCAAAUCACUGUUUACAAGUUUCCUGUCCCUUCAGACUUCCCUCUCUCAAAAUCCCUGUCUGGAGCUUCCCAGUUUCUCUGUACUGACAUUUAUUAGCCUGAAUGCAGCUCAGUGUGCUUGUAAAGAGAUGGGAUUUAUGUGUGUCUCAAUACAUCAUUUACAAUGGCAGUCUCUACUUAAUUAAUUAUGAGCUGAAUGGUUAUGGCUAGCAUUAAAAAUCAUUCUCAACCAGAGCAAAAUCAAUAAAAGUUCAAUUGACUCUUACUACACUAUUUGUUCUACUACUUUACUUCCUUAAAAACACAAACCAGGGGGGAAAGUCCACAGCUUCCCUCCAUUACAAGGAGGUUAAAGUAAAUAAUAGAACAUUAUCUGCUCAGAAUAUAACACACUUAUGAGAAGCAACAGCCUCCAAGUACCAGCUUAGCUAACUGAUUAUUGCCAUUGUAGCCCUUACAAACUGUACCAACAAUACAGGCAAAAUUAGUGACUUGCAGCAAACAGACAAAGGUUUGGUACUUACUCAUGUAUUGAUUGAUCUGGCAGUUCACAAUUAAUUAACAAAUGCUAACUGUAGUACCAAAUCAUAAGAAACAGCAUUAUUCUUAAGCAUAAAUAUAAUUUUGUUCAAAGAGUAUCUUGACAUAACUUUACACUAUUAUCAUUUUAAGUUACCUCUUUGUAAAACCCUAGGAUUUUAUUAUUUACAGCAUAUCCUCUCAAUCACAGCCUCACAAAUAGUCCUGUAAUGAAAUAACCACAGAACUGUAUGUUAGACACAAAAGGGUCCACAUUGGAAAAAAGAAAUCACAAGACUAUUAUUAUACAGGCAAUACAGUUUUAUUCUGUUCUUUCACCAAUUGUAGCAAAAACAUUUAACAACUGAAUGAAUAAUCAAGGGAACUUAAUUGUCAACAGGAAUUUCAGAAUUAUGUUCUAAAUUUUAGACCAGGAAGAACUGACAGGGAGAAAACAAACCAUAUACACACUUGUAAUAAUAGUCUCUAUUAUGAAGAUUUAAUGCCUUCUUUAAAAGCACUGAGAUUAUUGAGGCACCUUACUGCAGGUUAUGGAUCAUCUCUUCUUUGGCAAUGAGAUGUGUGGUUUUGUUAACUAGGGCCAUGAGGGAGUUGAGCUUGUGAGACCAGUCAUUGAGUAUAUUGUUUGGGUCCUUAGGCCUCUGGAAAUUGAUAAUUCCUGCCAGCCUGUCUACUUUAGCAAAGAUGGUUUUAUUAACUACUAGGUUAGACAAGAACUCCUCCGAUUCCUGCAAAGACAAACAGCACUUAGUCAAGAAAACAGCAUUUUUACUACAAACCACCAGAAUUCCUCCCAAGCAGCAUGAAAGCACCAGGAACAAGACUUUCUUUAUACAGGACUACAUCUGUAACAACAUUGUACUUUAAAAAAUGCAGGACACUUUAAUAUUACACAUGCUGGCAAUGCAAGGUA